CUUUAAGGUGCCACCGGACUCCUUGUUGUUUUUGUGGAUACAGACUAACACGGCUACCCCUCUGAUACUCUGCAGCCUAGAACAUUAUGGUGAGUGCAUGAAAAUCAGAAAGUGAAACUGAUGAGAACCGCUCCUGCUUGUUUACAAAAGAAAACUUCUUCUUUUAGCUUUAUGACUCUUGCUUCUGCUUGAUUUUUUUAAAUCCAAAAAGGUCAGCAAUUUAUUGAAAGGGCUAAAGGCAAGUAGAAGGCUCCUUGAUGUCCCUGUUGCAAUUCAUGGAAUGGGUUUCAUAAUUUAUUCCCUCCCAUCCAGUUGCUCUUAAGCAUUUCCUAAAUAGAGUGAGGGCUUUGCAACAGCACUUUGGGAGCACUUGUGAUACCGUUCAGAGCUCUCCAUUAAUUCCUGAGGCCUGGUACAACACCUCUGCUCACAUCCAUUAUAUGAGUCUUUAGCACGUUGUUUUGGCCCAAGAUUACAAAUACACAGACUUCUAACUAAUGCAGCAUUUAAAACAGGUUGCAUUUGCAGUGUUGUUGUAGACAUGUUGGCCCCAGGAUCUGAUAGACUCAAGGUGGGUGAGGUAAUUUUUUUUUUAUUGGACCAACUUCUGUUGAUGAAGGAGACAAUCUUUCAGGCUACACAGAGCUCUUCUUCAGGUCUGGCAAAGGUGAUCAGAAUGGCUCAGCCAAAUGCAAGGUGGAACCAAUUGUUAAGCAUAAGGAGUUAACUCAUGUUGCAAGAGACCAUUCAAGAUGAAGUGGACAGUUAAAACCUCUGCAGUCAUAGCACACAGGAAGGUUAGUGGAUUACAAUUGUUGUAAUGAGACAUAAAACCAGCACCUCUAUGGAAUCCAUGACUUAUUUUCUAGCAAAAUUAUGAAACUUCUGAGUUAGGAGCUUAAAUUGGGGGGAAGCGGUUUGCUGAAUACACCAAGGCUGCAGCAGCAGCUGUGGACCUGGGGUGCGAUUCUGAUUCUCCCUUGCAAACUGAUAUGUCCUUGUGUGUGAGAAGAAGAGAUUUUAGUCUCCAAAUCUUGAAACGCUCUGUCACUCAGGGAGUGGAAACAAUAAGGAGCGCUGCCUCAGCAGUCACACACGUUAAACCUCAGUAGUGCCAGGGAGGGGCGUUUUUCAUCUUUAUGAGUGUUGCCUUUUUUUAUUUCUUCUCCAUCAGCAUCCUUAAGACUCUGGAGUCAGACAACUCUCAGCAUUCGGUCACGUCAACAGCUUGGGUGAUACUGAUGAGGCUUUGGAGGGAGUGAGAAGCGGAUUCCUUCUUAUUGGAAAGAGCUCUUCCGAAGAAAUCCACAUGCAUUUCCUUCUCUGCAUUUGUCCCCCCAUGCUAGGAAGAAUUCAUGCCCUAGGCCAGUGGCUAUGGCAUCACUGCUGUUUGAGGCACACAGGCAGGAUGGGUUUCGUAAAGGAGAACCUGUGAUGAGAGCUGCUUGGGAAUGAUGUGCCAUUAUCAGCCAAGUUACAUCAAAGGGAAGACUUUGAUGGAUGGCGGCAUAAGAUGUCCUCAAGGCAGGCUGCGUAUAAACAGGCACACCAUCCCAGACGCCGUAUGAGAGCUUCUUGGAGAGCAAACGGACGGCCCACCCGAACCCCGCCUGGUACAAGCUUGCAAGGAGGAGUCAAGGUCAGCAUUCUGAAGGCAUGAGAGGACAGAGGCUUGAGCCUGUAAUCCUUCCUUAUGGGAGUAACCCUUUCUCAUGCAGGGCUCCCAUAGACGUCCUGCACCAGGGCUGAUGGAGGAGGAAGCAUUACUCAAGUUAAAUGAUACGGAGAAAGUAAAAGUCCCAGCAGGUCCAUAGCAAUCUACCCACUGGCAGGGCGGGUUGCCGGACUCGGCCCUUUCAAUGCAGGGGGGAUGCGCUUUAACCCCUGUGGCUGCUGAAAGGCUCCACUUACAGCUAGCUACUCUUUGGGAGCAAUAGAAAGCAGGGGUUAAGUCAGAGCAACCCUGAGGAUACCGUAAUAUGCGAUGGGAGCUGGGCAGGCCCCUGUAUGGCCCCAGGUAUAUGCUGCCCAAAGGUGCCUUCAAGCCAUCUGAACCUCCCCCCACACACACACCUUUACUCUGUGCACUGGAGUGGAGUAACUGAGAAUCAGGCCCAUCAUGUCUCCCACGCCUUAUCUCUGUCCCAGCCAAGCUAGACUGAUUCAGGAACUCUUAACCUCUCUCCCGACUCAGGCCCCCAGCUCCUCACUCAUUAUUGUCUGAAACCCCACCUCCAGCCUGUCUCUAUCAUCCUGAACGGAAUACAGGUACAUCCUACCAGCCAACAGGAGGCUCCCGUGUCUGCCUCUCUCCACAUCGGCCAAGGUGGGAUUUAAAUCCAUGUGUUCUCUUGGCCUGGGGUGGGAGAGCGGGCAGCAUGACAUUCACAGCUAAAUGGGAGGAAGGCAGAGGAACAAAAACUGCUCUUCCAACAUAUUGCGAUUCCUCAGCAAACUGCCUGGGCCAGGGCCGGGGUGGGGGGAGGCAGCUCCCAUGGUGAGUUCUGCCUUCCUGAGAUAGGAAGCAGACAAGGGCUGGGCUGCACUCAGCAACGUCCUCCUCUGCGCCGGAUGGAGGGAGGCACUUGAUGGCCGACAGCUUUGUUUCCGGUUUAGAAAGGAGGCAAAGCUUUGCAUGAUCAAGUUCUGCAGCUCACAUCCAAACCCAGGGACAAGAUGCCGGAAAGGUCACGUUUAGCCCCGAGAAGGAGGAUUAAAUAGGGGUCCCACAGCCCCGCUGCAUGCCAGAGUUUGAUGGGGCCAUUGGUCCCAACUCCUUCCUCCCUUUGAAACCUCUCAUUGACUUCAGUGGCAGCAGGAGGGGGAUGGAUGUGUACAAAUGCAUGAGCCAAGAAGUGUUGUUAGUGUGUCAGAUGCUUUGAUUCAGAAAGCACGUCAUGCUUCAAUCCACUAACCCCAAGCACCUUUAGCAAGGGAGUCUUUAGCAUGUCAAGAGCACCUUCAUACGGACAGAUCUCAAAGCAUUUUGCAAAUAAUAGACGAUAAAAUGGCUGACCUCAUGGCUGACAGACAAGGAAAACGAUGUACAGAAAGGCUGGAACUCAUCCAAGGAAUAGGAACCGCGCUUUCCUGACUCCGGCUCCCCUGCUCUGACCACUAGACCACACAUUCUCCUUCGGGUGCUUGGCAAAAAAGGAGGCCAUCCAGCCUGAUGGUGACAGGAAGCAGAAGAGCCUUGUCUUGAAAUGCAGAAAUCCUGCUCCCAUUAUCUCUCCCAGUUCAUAUUUGCCAACUGAAAACCUGCAAGGAACAGCUUUGAAACAAAGGGAAAUAAAUCACCAUCAGGAAUGUUUGAUGGAUUAACUGUCUGAGCAAGCAGUAAACCCAUCUCUGAGCUGCCCGGGCAGCCUUCAGCGUCAUGCCCAGAGAAGGGCAGCGUUUUGCAGUAUUCUGCCAGGCAGAUGAACGCGUAGGGUAUGUCUAGCGGCCGUGGGAAGCAAUUCCUCGCCUUCACUCCAACGGGCAUCGCAGCCCCUGAAUUUCAAGUUCCAGCAAACUCCAGAAGAGAGAGCAGCUGAAUUUCACUUAGCUUUGCCUGGAAAUCUUGAAAUUCCAGAGCCUGUGGUCACCCUGAGACUUGGGAGCCAGGCUCCCCUGGGAACUCAGACCACCCCAAAUGAGUCCCAAGCCUAAGCCACACUCAACAGGAAACUUGUUUAAUAUGCCAGCAAUGCCCCUCUCCUAUGUACAUUGGUCAAACUGGACAGUCACUACGCAAGAGGUUAAAUGGACACAAGUCAGAUAUCAGGAAUGGCA
Trachemys scripta elegans is the source of this 3777-nucleotide long non-coding RNA. RefSeq lists it as uncharacterized. Lineage: Eukaryota; Metazoa; Chordata; Testudines; Emydidae. The record is from RefSeq and is a predicted model, not a curated record. The transcript is spliced from 3 exons.